RNAcentral lists this long non-coding RNA (209 nucleotides) under Eucalyptus grandis. Its description in RNAcentral is "long non-coding RNA (EGRA_LNC006736)". The record is from RNAcentral. Lineage: Eukaryota; Viridiplantae; Streptophyta; Magnoliopsida; Myrtales; Myrtaceae.
UGCAAGAGAGAUACAUUGCAGAUAAAAGCAGCAGCAAAGGAAGGCCAAAACAGCGGCCAAGGGCAAAGAGCACACAACACUGUGGCCCGCACAAGGAAAAGACAAGUCCCAACCCGCAACAGGAUCGGGAGAGAUCCAUCAGAAGUAUCAACCAGCAACAAUGAGAUGGGCAGCAAUGUAGCAAAGGAUAGGUUCAUCAACCAUCAGGC